AUUUACAUAAUUUAUAAAUAGAAUAUUGCAUUGAAGCUGCAAAUGAGGUCAUGGAUCUGUAAAUG
This 65-nucleotide transfer RNA is filed under the name Atergatis integerrimus. RNAcentral describes it as "tRNA-Phe". The record is from RNAcentral. Lineage: Eukaryota; Metazoa; Arthropoda; Malacostraca; Decapoda; Xanthidae.